CUCUGCAGGAGGUAGCACUUGAUUGACCUUGACUGGGCUCAUAAGCUAAACAGGCUCAGUCUUGUUUGGUAUUUGGAUAGGAGAUCCCUAGAGAAGUCCAGGGCUGCAGGCU
Notechis scutatus (mainland tiger snake) is the source of this 112-nucleotide ribosomal RNA. Lineage: Eukaryota; Metazoa; Chordata; Lepidosauria; Squamata; Elapidae. The record is from Ensembl.